GGGUAUUUACUAUUUUUGGCCUCUUCUGCAUAGUGUCACUCAAGUGGAGUCUUAGCUCAGUAUGAAGAUAGCUAAGUAUAGAAACACCUCAGUUUGGAUAUAGCUCAUCUCAGCCUCAUAUAACUCACCUCAGCAUGACUAAAAUCCAUCUCAGCAUGAACAUGCUGUGGAUGACUCUUUCCAGCAUACAUAUGGCUCAGUCACUUCAGAAUCUACGUUUCGGAUAUAAAUCCAAGAUAUCAAAAUAUCCCCGUAACAAUG
RNAcentral lists this long non-coding RNA (261 nucleotides) under Elaeis guineensis (African oil palm). RNAcentral describes it as "long non-coding RNA (EGUI_LNC036776)". Lineage: Eukaryota; Viridiplantae; Streptophyta; Magnoliopsida; Arecales; Arecaceae. The record is from RNAcentral.